AGCUCCAUAGUCUAGUGGCCAAGGAUGCGACCCUCUGGAGGUCGAGACCCAGGUUCAAAUCCUGGUGGAGCUA
RNAcentral lists this transfer RNA (73 nucleotides) under Nanobdellota archaeon. RNAcentral's name for it is "tRNA-Gln". It matches the Rfam family "tRNA". Rfam says of the family: Transfer RNA (tRNA) molecules are approximately 80 nucleotides in length. The record is from RNAcentral. Lineage: Archaea; Nanobdellati; Nanobdellota.